Long non-coding RNA from Helianthus annuus (common sunflower), 1386 nucleotides. RefSeq lists it as uncharacterized. NCBI's taxonomy places the organism in Eukaryota, Viridiplantae, Streptophyta, Magnoliopsida, Asterales, Asteraceae. The record is from RefSeq and is a predicted model, not a curated record. The transcript is spliced from 6 exons.
GUUUCUGGACACCUGACAAAAUUGUUUUUUAAAGCCGUCUUUUUGACCCGAACUCAUUUAGGUUCGCACCUGUUUUGACCUGAACAAAGUUGAUUUUUUAGGCUACCUAUUUUGAUUCGACCUCAUUUUGUUCAUACCCUGUUUUGACCCGAACCGACUUUGGCUGGAAACACUCUUGGACAGUUGGACCGUUACCAGCCCGCUCCGCUAGGGAUGAGCACGGUACCCGUUCGGUACCGUACCGGUACUAAAAAACGGGAAAAGUGGGUACCGGUACCAAAUAUACCGGUUUGGUACCGGUACCAAUAUACAGGGUUGGUACCGGUACCGGUGUUUUACCGGUAAAUACAGGCACCAGUACCGAAUAUACCCGGUACGGUUCUGUACCGGUUCGGUAGCGGUACCCGGUACCAAAUGUUCAUCCCUACGCUCCGCCCUUUUUGCCAUAAAAAGUUUUAGUGUUAUCUCAUAUUUUGAUCUCAAUAUUAUCUUAUUUAUACAACUUGAUUAUCAAUGGUAAAUUGAAAGUUCAGUAUAUGUGUUUUACCCUUAUUUGUUCUAUUACUUUAGUGAAUAAUUUAAAAAAAGAAAAGAAAAAAACUUGUCAUUCUUACAACUUGGAUUUGUUGUUGUUUGUAUGAUUCUUUCAAAUAGACAAUCUGAUGCAUGUUCCAAAGAGAGUAAAAUAAGGUAUACAAGUAAGUUGGAGAGGAAAGUGAAGACCCUUCAAAACAAGGCCAACAACGCUCUCUAUACAAGUGACAAUGCUCCAGAUUCAGAGAACAGAUCUAGUAGGCUGUCCGAUUACCUCAACUUCCAAUUGGUUUAGAAAUGAUGGAUAACGAUGUGGUCAUGAAAGAACUUGAUAUUGCCCUUGAACAACAACCUCUGCUAGUUGUUAAUUAUGUACCUGGUGCAAUACAUGUUGUCUGAUGAAUUCAGGUUAAUGGACAAGAUAAGGAAAUCAUGGAAAAGGAGGUGGAGGAGCAUGUUAAAAUGAUUACAACUAAGCAUAAACGAACCAAGUGGAGGCUGAUGAUGAGGAGUAAAAUCCCAAAGAGCAGGCGAGGCUAUAAAUGGAUUCGAGACUACAUAUAGCUUACUUGGAUCUUGAGAUGAAUCAACCAAUUGCAAAAAGUUAUUACCCCGUAUGUUUUUUAUUUGCAUAUAACAAUGUGGAUGCCUCAAAUGUACAAUGGUGAAUUUUAUGCAACAACCUUUGUUUUGAAAUUCUUACAUCGAUCGCCAACAUUCAGAGUGCAUUUUUGAGCUUAAAAGCAAAAGGGAUGUCCAUACAUGGAAGCAUUGUAUGUCCUCUAUUUAAUACUCCUUUUAUUUCAAUACGAAGGAUAUUCAAAUUUUGAACAUUUUACUUACACAACGAAA